Molecule: ribosomal RNA, 429 nt
Filed under: Shigella flexneri
Lineage: Bacteria; Pseudomonadati; Pseudomonadota; Gammaproteobacteria; Enterobacterales; Enterobacteriaceae
Also listed under: 15 other names
Description: partial 16S ribosomal RNA
Rfam family: Bacterial small subunit ribosomal RNA
Source: RNAcentral
UGGGGAAUAUUGCACAAUGGGCGCAAGCCUGAUGCAGCCAUGCCGCGUGUAUGAAGAAGGCCUUCGGGUUGUAAAGUACUUUCAGCGGGGAGGAAGGGAGUAAAGUUAAUACCUUUGCUCAUUGACGUUACCCGCAGAAGAAGCACCGGCUAACUCCGUGCCAGCAGCCGCGGUAAUACGGAGGGUGCAAGCGUUAAUCGGAAUUACUGGGCGUAAAGCGCACGCAGGCGGUUUGUUAAGUCAGAUGUGAAAUCCCCGGGCUCAACCUGGGAACUGCAUCUGAUACUGGCAAGCUUGAGUCUCGUAGAGGGGGGUAGAAUUCCAGGUGUAGCGGUGAAAUGCGUAGAGAUCUGGAGGAAUACCGGUGGCGAAGGCGGCCCCCUGGACGAAGACUGACGCUCAGGUGCGAAAGCGUGGGGAGCAAACAGG